Monodelphis domestica (gray short-tailed opossum) is the source of this 7211-nucleotide non-coding RNA. The record is from RefSeq and is a predicted model, not a curated record. NCBI's taxonomy places the organism in Eukaryota, Metazoa, Chordata, Mammalia, Didelphimorphia, Didelphidae.
GCUCAUUCUUUAUCCAUUUUUUUCUCCUUUUGUCCAAUUGCUGGUACACAUUUUUGUCUAACAAUACAGAGUAUUCCAGGAAUUUCAGUGGAGUUUUUUUUUAAACCCAUACCUUCCUUCUUGGGGUCAAUACUGUAUAUUGACUCCAAGGCAGAAGAGUGGUAAGGGCUAGGCAAUGGGGGUUAAGUGACUUGCCCAAGGUCACACAGCUGGGAAGUGUCUGAGGCCAGAUUUGAACCUAGGACCUCCCAUCUCUAGGCCUGACUCUCAAUCCACUGAGCUACCCAGCUGCCUCCUUCAGUGCAGUUUUUAAAAUAGCUUACAAUCAGAGAGCUUUAAACUGCAUGGAGAUUUCUGAGAUACCAGACCAUCAAAGUAGUUGAUGAAAUCAGAUAAGAUGCUAAUUCCAUAGAAGGAAUGUUUGAGAGGGUAGUACACCAAAUUACAUGUAGAAAACUUUGAGACUUCAUAAUGGAAUUUGGUUAUCAUAUAUUAAUAAUAUUAAUCUGAAAGUAUAUACAUCAGAUAAGACUUGUAUGGAUAGUAUCUGCCAGAAACUCUACAUUGCUGCUAUAGUCUAGUUAUAUAUCUCAAAGAAUUUUUUUUUCCUUCUGGAGGGACAAAAGGUAAAAAGUUUUUUUUAAUGUUUUAGAAACUAUUUAGGACUCUUGAACAUUCAAAGUUCAUUUUUUCCUGAAUUCUGAGUUCAACUGUUAUAGAAGAGUAAUGAUUUGUUUUAGUUCAGAGAAUUUUUUUUUUUGUCAAAAUAUAAUUUUUUUGGUCCAAGAUAGUAGGCACUAAAUUUUUUCAAAGUGUUUUGUGGAAAUACUUAGAUUUUUAUAGCAGGCCAUCACUGAAAUUGUUUAUGUAUUUAUUUGUUUAAUUGAAUUCUUGUUCUGAAGAUUGUUGCAAGAAGGAAUUAUAGUUAAGGUGGCUUCCCUUUUAAUCUUUUUCAUAGUGUAUGAAUACAUUAAUUUUUUUAAACACUGCUUUUUCUCACUGUAUUUUACUUAAGUAUUUGGCCUUUUUACAACAUUCUUGUUCCUUUCAGCAGCUUAUCAUUGCAUCUUAUUCCUAAGACCAAUUAGAUGAAAGAAAUUUUCCUCCUAUUUUUAGUGUUCUUCAUCCUCCUGACUUCUACUGUUUCUUCUUUCCCUCAUUAAUAUUCUUAAUCCAUUCUAAUCUUGGGAGACAUUGUUGUUAAAAAAGCAUUGGACUCUGUCCUGAACCAGAAACUGUAGUUGUGACCUUUGCCCACUGGCCAGCAAGAUCUGGCCCCACAGCUGCUCCCAUUGCCAGCACCUCCUUGGUCACUUCUCAGGAUCCUGUCCUUUUCUCCAAAGAUGUAGAUCAUUGUCUUAUGGGACAGUUCUGGUUUUGUCAAGAGUAUUCUGGAAGGCUGACAAACCUAGAACUGCCCCAUAUUGAUCUGGAUCCAAAUCUGCUUCUAGGUCUAUGACCACUUCAUCAACUAACUUCUAGCAAGUCAAAGAAAUACCUCUAGCCAAUGAGAAGGACACAACUUCCAGUACUGUGGUCCAGCAUACUGAUUAUUCAUUUUAGUCCAUUUCCCUCUGCUAUGAGCCAAAGGACUUCCAGUAAAUGCCCCUUCCUAGCAGCUCAGAUGAAGCAAAUUAUAGCAAAGUUUUUCAUAAAGUCAGUUUAGAGCUACAAGAGGAUGUACAGGAAAUGUAAGCUAUAAGGAAAGAAGUUGAUCAAAAUCCAGUUAAUUCCAUUGUGAUUAUUCUCAAGACUGGUAGAGAAGACCAGAAUGGUUUGCUAAAGAAUUUUUAGGAUCUCAUGGUAUCCUACAGACUCCUUUGGGACAUCUUGCCAAAAUAAAUUUGCACUUCUCAGUAUGAUCAUUUCUUUGAGGAAAAAAGUGAUAUUUUUACUCAGUGUUUAAAACUGUAGCAGGGACACACAUGUUCCUGAUGGCAGAUGAUUACAUGGAUUCCCUUGUUACUAAAAAGCAGGAAUCUAUCUUGUGUAGGAACGACUAUGUAGAAAUGAGUCAUUAUCCUGAGGUGUGUGUGGGGCUGUCAUGGAAACAUUAAAAUAACAUGGUGCUGAGCAGGUGGUAUUAGAAAUAUUUCUGUAAUGUAACAGUUAAAAUUAGUUUCUCUGCUAAAGUAUUAUAUUUUUAUGAGGUUUAUUAAAGGUUAAGAAAUAAAGAAAAUACAAAAUAAGAAAGCACGUGUCUAGGCCCAGAGAGCCCAUUCACAACCACUCACUCCACAUCCUGCCUGGUAGCGCGGCGUGUGCCCAGAGGCGGAAGCUGAGAGAGCAAGCAGAAGGUGGAGUCGUUUUAAAAACAAUUUCUGUUCUCAUCUCAGGUGGGAAUUCAGGUGAGGUUACAAAGCAUUCUGGGAAGUAGCAAGGACUUGUGGGGAUUGAAGUCUGGGGUUCAAAUCUCCAUUUUUACAGCAACUAAUAAGUUUUAUGUUGAUUUAGAAUGAGAAGUGACUUACCUUCAUGGGAAAGAUUACUGUUUUUAUCCUUCUUUGUUGCUAAUAACUUCAUCCUUUUCAUUUUGGCUAAGAAGAUACCAAUUUGAAAUUUAUUCUGAUUCUGAAAAUCAUGUCUCCAUGAUCCAAGGAAUGCAUAAUAGCAGAGUGCCAAGGUAUAUAUUUCAUCAUGAUGAUAUUAACCAUCUUAGAUAAUUAGUAAAGAAAUCAAACACAUCAGUCUCUGUGAUUGUGGCAAUUGAAACUGUUGACUAAGUGGCUGGAGAGGUAUGUCCAUUGCAAGAACUAUGAAAUGUGGCCCAUGGAUGUGGAAUGAUUACCUUUAUGAAUGAAGUCCAUGCUGAAGGAUUAUAUGGUACUCUUGGAGGCACUAUGAAUGAUCAAGAUGGAGUCAUAUACAAAAUGGACUUAAUUUCUGGAACUCUGGGCAAAGACUACAGUUGUGUUGGUGGUUAUGUUGCCAGUUCAAUUUUUUUAAUAGACACCAUAUGGUCUUUUGCCAUAGGCUUCAUUUUUACAACUUCCCUCUUUCCCCAGGCUUCAGACUGGCACUCUUGAAUCCAUAUGCAUCUUAGAGUGCUACUAGGAACACCAGUGUAAUCUCAAACUGAUGAGGCAAUUACUAAUAGAUAUUGGGCUCCCCAUGGUUCACUGCCUCAGUCAUACCACUCCACUCUGGUACAAUGUCAGACUGAUGAGACAGAUGCUAAUGGACACUGGGUUCCCUAUGGUUCACUCCAUCAGUCACAUUCCACAGUGGGUGGCAGAUUCUUUUAAAAAUACAGAGGUCUGUGAUGAAUUCAUGAGCAAAUAUGAUAUCUGCAUCCAAGCCAUCAACUAUCCAACUGUUUCCUGGUGAGAAGAAUUCCUUUAUUCAUAACCCCAAACCCUCACCACAUUCCACAGAUGAUGAACUAUUUCCUGGAGAAGCUGCUGGAUACUUGGAAACUUCCUGGGCUGUAUAUGAAGCCUCACUCCUUAGCAGAGUGUAACCUCUCUAGGAUGCCUUAUACUUUGAAGUCAUGCGUGAGAGAAAGAAAGCUUACUUUCAGGCAUGAGCAAACUGGUUUUUGUCAGUGCCUGAAUCUGACCUCCAUGGCUCUACUUGAUGCCAACCAGUCCCUUCUUCAUGUUGUCUCUGUAGCCUUUAUAUAAGAAGUAACUUAUCUUAAGUUUUAAAUCAUAGUAGAAACAUAGUAAUGCAAAAGAAUUUCUAUAAAAAAAAACAAAUAUUGGUCUGAUAGAUUUUGCUUUUGAUCUUUUAUGUAGAAUUUAUGGGAGGACAUGGUCAUGAAUCAUAUAGGUUGAGAAGACUUGAAUGAAUCAUAGGCUGUGGUGGAGGAAGUACUUUGAUCAAUGUCAUGGAUCCACUGAAGUAUUAGCAUAAAAUGGGAGAGCCCUAGAGAUUAGUGCCAAAAUUUUUGAGUAGAAGGAGCAUUAUAGCUAAAUUUUUUCUAGCAUUCCCCUCCAAACAACUUUAAAAUAAUACCUUAAAUAAAAUUCUGGAAUGACACAGCCAUCAAAAGGUUGGGUAAGACCAUUUUCUAGUUCAAGACAAUGAAGACUAUCAGGAAUAAUAUUUUGAAAUUCCAGACCUACCAGUUGAAUGAGAAAAUACUGACAGCAGCUUGAAAGAAAUCUUUCAAAUACCAUGGAUUCAGGAUCAUAUAAGUUUCAGCAGCUAUCACAUUAAAGGUACAAAGGUUGUGAAUAUGAUAUUCCAGAAGUUUACAGUAAAAAAAUAUCCUACUAAGCAAAAUUGAGUAUAACUCUUCAGGGGGAAAAUUAGAUAUUGUAUGAAAUAGAAGACCUUUGAGGAAUACUGAUGAAAAAACUAGUACAAAAUAGAAAAUUCACCAUAUAAACACAAUAUUUCAAGCAUUAAUAAGGUAAACAUGAAAGAAACCACGAAGGACUCAAGAUUAAACUCUUUGAAUUCCUAUAUGGGAAGAUUAUUCAUAUAACUGUUAAGAACUUUAUCAUUAUUAGGAGAGUUAGAAGGAGUCUACAUAGGUAUAGGGGUAGGUCUGUGUUGAAUAUUUUGGGAUGAUCUAAAAAAAAUGGAGGUGAGCAUCUGGGUGUCUCAGUGGAUUGAGAGUCAGACCUAGAGACUGGAGGUUCUGGGUUGAAAUCUGGCCUCAGGUACUUCUUAGCUCUGUGACCCUGGGCAAGUCACUUGACUCCCAUUGCCUAUCCCUUACCACUCUUCUGCCUUGGAACCAAUACACAAUAUUGAUUCUAAGAUGGAAGGUAAGGGUUUCAAUUAAAAAAAUAAAAAUUUAACAAAAAUUUUAAAAAAAUUGGAGGGGUGAGAGAUGCUCCGGGAGAAGAGGAGUGGAGAAAAUUUUCUUAACAUAAAAUAGAUGUUUUAGGAAGAGUUUUUAUGGUGGAGGGGGAUAUGGUGCAGGGGGAAGGCAAUGCUUGAACCUCACUCUUAUCUGAACUGGUUCAAAGAGGAAAGAAUAUAUCUGCAUACACACUCAUACUCAUCCAAGUAUAGAAAUCUAUCCUAUCUAAUGAGAAGUAGUAGGGAAAGGAGAUAAGAAGAAAAGGGGAAGGGGAAUGAUAAGAGGGAGAGUAAAUUAAGAGAGGCAGUAGUGAAGAGCAAAACACUUUUGAGGAGGGAUGGAUUUUUAAGAGAUUAGGACAACAGGAAAAAAAAUAGGAUGAAGGAAAAUAUAGUUAGUAAUCAUAACUAUAAGUGUGAAUAGGAUGAAUUCACUGAUAAAAUAGAAGCAAGUGAUAGAAUGGACUGGAAAUCAGAUCCAGCAGUAUAUUAUUUGUGAGAAACAUACUUGAAAAAGGAAGACACCUAAUUAAAAUUAGGGCCUGGAGCAGAAUUUAUUAUAUUUGAGAAGUAAAAAUUUUGAAGGCAGGGAUAGCAGUUAUGAUAUCAGAUAAAACAAAAGCAAAAGUAGGCCUAAUUAAAGAUAAAAGCAGGGAAUCUACAUUUUGUAAGAUAUACAAUAGACAAUGAAGUAAUAAUAAUAAUAAUAAUGUCAAAACUACACAUAUAUGCAACCAAAUGACAUAAUAUCCAAAUUCUCAAGGGAAAAGUAAAUGAAUUAUAGGAGGAAAAUAGAAAAUAAAACUAAACUGGUUCAGGGCCCUUAUCUUUUCCCUCUCAGAACUAAAUAAAUCUAACCAUAAAACAAAUAGGAAAGAAGUUCAGGAGAUGAAUAGAAAUUUAGAAAAGGUAGUUAGGGUAGACUUAUGAAGAAAAUUGAAUGGGAAUAGAAAAGAGUAUAUACCUUUUUUCUCAGCUAUAUAUAUUACCUUCACAGAAAUUAACCAUAUGUUAUUGCAUGAAAAUCUAACAACCAAAUACAAAAAGCAGAAAUAUUAAAAUAUACCUCUUUCAGAUCAUAAUGAAAUAAAAAUUGCAGUCAAUAAAGGGCAUUGAAAGCAUAGAUUAAAAAUAGGAACUAUUCUAAUUCUAAAGAAUGAGUGGGUUAAAGAACAAAUCAAAGGAACAAUCAAUUUUCAUUAAAGAUAUUGACAGCAAUGAGGCAGAAUACCAAAAUUUGUGGGAUGCUGCCAAAGUAGUAUUUGGUAAAGUAGUAUUUUGGGGGAAAAUUUAUAUCCUUCAAUGCCAACAUCAAAAAAGAAGAGAAUAGAUCACUGAACUGAUCAGUGAACUUGGAGAACUAGAAAAAGAACAAAUUAAAGAUCUCUAAUAAAAUACCAAAAUAGAAAUCCUGAAAGUCAAAGAAGAGAUCAAUGAAAUGGAAAGUUCAAAAAAAGAGUAAACUAACACCAGGAGUUGAUUUUUAUAAAAACAAAACAAUAUCCUGGGUUCAGAUCUUGCUGCUCUUUUGCCUUGGAACUGAUACUUAGUAUAGAUUCUAAGACAAGAUAGGGGUUUAAAAGAAAGAAAGGAAAAAUAAGUAAAGGAAUCUUACUAAUUUCCUUUUAUGACACAAGGAUGGUUUUGAUACCUAAACUAAGGAGGAUAAAAUCAGAAAGAAAACAGACCAAUUUCCCUAAUGAAUAAUGCCAAAAUUUUGAAUAAAAUAUGAGCAAGGAAGCAUUAUAUCACAAAAAUCAUACACUUUGAUGAGGCUGGAUUUAUACCAGGGAAGUAAGAAAUGGUUCAAUAUUAGGAAAACUAUAGCAUAACUGAUUACAUCAACAAAAAGUUACAAUCACAUGAUUAUCUCAGUAGAUUCAGAAAAAGCCUUUGACAAAUACAAUUUCCAUUCCUAUUAAAAACAUUAGAAAGCAUAGAAAUACAUUGUGCCUUUCUUAAAAAGAUAAGUAGUAUCUAAAACCAAGAACAAGACUUAAAGUCUUCCUUAUAAGAUCAGGGAUGAAGCAAAGAUGUCCAUUAUCACCAUUAUUAUUCAGUAUUUUACUAGAGAUGCCAGCAAUUAGCAAGAAAAAGAAAUAAAGAAAGAAAUUGAAGGAAUUGGAAUAGAUAACAAAGAAACAAUCACUCUUUGCUGAUGAUAUGAUGGUAUACUGAGAGAACCACAGAUAAUCACCUAAACAAUUUUGAAACAAAUAACUUCAGAGUUGCAGGAUAAAAAACCCACAUAAGUUAUCAACAUUUCUGUAUUUUGCCAACAAAACCCAGAAGGAAGAGAUCGAUAAAUUCCAUUUAAAAUAACUAUGUAGUAUAAAAUACUUGGGAGUCUACUAGCCAAGACAAACCAAAGAACUAUAUAAACAUAAUUACUGAAUACUUUUCUCACAAAUAGAUAUCUGUACAACUGGAUAAAUGAUAAUAAUAAAUAAUAUACU